UAGCUCAGUUGGUAGAGCAUGGUGUUUGCAACGCCAGGGUUGUGGGUUCGAUUACCAC
Molecule: non-coding RNA, 58 nt
Organism: Salmo salar (Atlantic salmon)
Lineage: Eukaryota; Metazoa; Chordata; Actinopteri; Salmoniformes; Salmonidae
Source: Rfam